CGGCCCUGAGCGGUAAGGGAGCCGGUGCCAUCCGCCCCGGGGAGCUCGGGGGCUCGGCCAGGUUCCCGCAGAGCCGUGGUCUGGAGCCUCUCCUGCGGUUUGAGUCCCGUCGCGGACCGACAGAGAGCAGGAAAGAACGCAUGGGGAGGCCUGUGUGGACAGCGGCUCACACACGACGGUGUGACGGUUGCACGACACGCAUGUCCUCGGGGCCGCUGAACGGAUCACCUACUGAGAACGGGCCACGCCCAGGCACCUGCUCUGCUACCUGUUUCGGAUCCCUAGAACUGUUAAUGCAAACCAUUGCUGGCAAAGAAAAAGCCACCUUAGUGACCCACCUGCUGUCAGCCCUUGUUCCAGACUGUCCUGAGGUGGGCGUGACCAAUGUCAGCUGCUCCGUCCAGCUAACGGGAAGCCCUUUCCAGGGGACACCUCACACGGCGUAAGGAAUCUCACCAGCUAACUGCAGUCUAUCAAGAAAAUAGUACUAUAUUCCCA
Molecule: long non-coding RNA, 498 nt
Filed under: Mustela putorius furo (domestic ferret)
Lineage: Eukaryota; Metazoa; Chordata; Mammalia; Carnivora; Mustelidae
Description: lncRNA (ENSMPUG00000031871.1)
Source: RNAcentral